UGAAUCCAACAGAUGGGACAAUCUGGGCAUUCACUGGCCCGGCUAUAGCAAUCGUACUCGUCAACGUAGUUAUUCUCCUACUGGUUGUAAAGACAGUUGUGUCUGCAUCUCGAGGUCAACUCGACAACGAUAAGAUCAAGCAAAUCAAAGCUGGACUUCGGAGCACUUUGUUGCUCUUCCCCCUGCUUGGUAUCGCUUGGAUAUUGACACCUGUAGUGGCAGUUUUCCCUCACGUCAAGGCGUUGGAAUACACCUUCAACCUGCUCAAUUCUCUUCAGGGGUUCUUCGUCGCAUGGCUCUAUUGCUUUCUCAAUUCGGAGGUUCGAAACGCCAUCAGAGAGCAUGUUCGCAAAUCUCGUGAAAGCAGGGCUUCGAUCACCAAUCCCA
Long non-coding RNA from Strongylocentrotus purpuratus (purple sea urchin), 387 nucleotides. RefSeq lists it as uncharacterized. The record is from RefSeq and is a predicted model, not a curated record. NCBI's taxonomy places the organism in Eukaryota, Metazoa, Echinodermata, Echinoidea, Camarodonta, Strongylocentrotidae. The transcript has 5 exons.